GGACAAGAAGCGAGUCCCGCUGGCGACCACCACUGCACUGGCUGCCGCGGCGCCCGACGUGUCUGGUGAGUCUCCACGUACUCCUGCCAUCAACGUACGGUUGUUCAGCAGACUGCAAGUUUGGUGAGGUUAUUUUCACAGAAAAGUUCCUUACUUGUCGCGACACCUGAGACCUUCCGCCAUGUUCUGCAGAAGCUUUAGUUGGUUCGUCCGCAUUUUUGUGGCGGUAGUCAUAUCUACUGGCUGCAGCCACCCAAUUUCUGUUACAGAAUUCUAUACAGAAGUCACCGCACAUAGUUUAACAACCACCAAAGGUAAGUGUUUCAUCCAUUGCUGC
Molecule: long non-coding RNA, 337 nt
Organism: Schistocerca americana (American grasshopper)
Lineage: Eukaryota; Metazoa; Arthropoda; Insecta; Orthoptera; Acrididae
Exons: 3
Source: RefSeq, a predicted model, not a curated record